Molecule: ribosomal RNA, 330 nt
Filed under: Charissa glaucinaria
Lineage: Eukaryota; Metazoa; Arthropoda; Insecta; Lepidoptera; Geometridae
Description: partial 12S ribosomal RNA
Source: RNAcentral
AAAUUAUAAAAUACUAAAAUAGUAUAUAAUUAUUUAUUGAAACUUAAAUAUGUUGGCGGUAUUUUAGUUUAUUUAGAGGAAUCUGUUUAUUAAUUGAUAAUCCACGAAUUAAUUUACUUAAUUUAUUAUUUUGUAUAUCGUUGUUAUAAAAAUAUUUUUUAAUAAUUAUAAUAUUUUAAAAUUAUAAAAUAAAAUUAGAUCAAAUCAAGAUGUAGAUUAUAAUUAAGAAUAUAAUGGAUUACAAUAAAUUUAUUUAAAUGGAUUUUAAAUUGUAAUAUUUAAAUGAAGGUGGAUUUAAAUGUAAUUUUUUUUAUUUUAUUGAAAUGAUUA